GGGCCUGUGGGGUAGCCUGGUCCAUCCUUUGGGAUUUGGGAUCCUGAGACCCCAGUUCAAAUCUGGGCAGGCCCACCA
RNAcentral lists this transfer RNA (78 nucleotides) under Methanothermococcus thermolithotrophicus. RNAcentral's name for it is "tRNA-Pro". It matches the Rfam family "tRNA". From Rfam's summary of the family: Transfer RNA (tRNA) molecules are approximately 80 nucleotides in length. Their secondary structure includes four short double-helical elements and three loops (D, anti-codon, and T loops). RNAcentral also lists the same sequence under 7 other names. The record is from RNAcentral. Lineage: Archaea; Methanobacteriati; Methanobacteriota; Methanococci; Methanococcales; Methanococcaceae.